AUACACAGCAAGAGUGGGUCUAAUGCCCAUCAUACCAGAUAUGACAUAUCAAUUUGAAUAAAAAAUAUAAAUUUCAAGAAAUGGCUUAUGGUCAGUUAUUAUAUGUGUUUAUCAUCAAAACAAAGUGGAUAAAAUAUGUAAUAACCCUGUGGGGAAAUCUGUGGUUCUAAGAUUUGGUCCUCCCAAAGUCCCAUGUGACCACAGCCAGUUGAUCCAUUGCGAGUCACCAAUUCUAAAAAUCUGCAGUAUCAUGGCAUCUGCAUUUAUAGAGCAAAACAAAU
This is a non-coding RNA of Pelobates cultripes (western spadefoot toad), 281 nucleotides long. NCBI's taxonomy places the organism in Eukaryota, Metazoa, Chordata, Amphibia, Anura, Pelobatidae. The record is from the annotation of a GenBank genome assembly.